AGAACGAACGCUGGCGGCGUGCCUAACACAUGCAAGUCGAACGAGAAAGGGGUAGCAAUACCCUGAGUAAAGUGGCGCACGGGUGAGUAACACGUGACCAACCUACCCUUGAGUGGGGGGAUAACUGAGGGAAACCUUAGCUAAUACCGCAUAAUACCCACGGGUCAAAGGAGCAAUUCGCUCGAGGAGGGGGUCGCGGCCGAUUAGCUAGUUGGUGGGGUAAUGGCCUACCAAGGCAACGAUCAGUAU
RNAcentral lists this ribosomal RNA (249 nucleotides) under uncultured bacterium. Its description in RNAcentral is "partial small subunit ribosomal RNA". It matches the Rfam family "Bacterial small subunit ribosomal RNA", at positions 26 to 286 of the family's 1533-position model. The record is from RNAcentral.